Molecule: long non-coding RNA, 1221 nt
Organism: Corticium candelabrum
Lineage: Eukaryota; Metazoa; Porifera; Homoscleromorpha; Homosclerophorida; Plakinidae
Exons: 2
Source: RefSeq, a predicted model, not a curated record
GAUUCGUGAUACUGAUUGUUUUUGUUUUGUUCUUUGACUAUCGAAGGUUGAGAGCAAUGCCCGCCUGCUGUGCGUGGGGUUGUUCCAACAGACAUGAGAAAGGGCAUACCAUGUACAGGUUUCCGCUCGAUCCUGCCAGAAGAAAAGUGUGGACAAAUCGAGUCAUCCGAAAGAAUUGGACUCCUACACUUUAUUCUUACUUGUGUGACGCUCAUUUUGAUAGCUCUUAAUUUGAGCAACACAGGAAAGAUGGAAAGAAGAAACUGAAAUGGAAUGCAGUACCAACAAUAUUUCCCCACCGGAAAAUUGGCUCCAAGAAUAGCAGAAAGUCUUGAAACAGCACAAAGGAAGAAGACUCUCUGAAUGCUGGUGUCCAAGUAACAACAGAUGUGCAAGAUCACAGCUAUGCUGCUGAUGCUAUGCAAAAAGACCAUCUGUCACCUGAUGAGGCUAAUGGUUUGUAUCGAGAUAUGUCAUCUUGUUUGAAAUGAUCAUGAAUGCAUGUUAGUUUGUGCAUGCUCGUUCUCAUCACAUAUUUCAUUGGCAUGCUGUACUUCUGCUAACAUAAUGGAUUUUUUUUAUUUGGUCUGUGGUUGCACUCUUCAAGUCUUUGAAGAUUAGUGGAAGAGAAAACUGGAAGUCUGUGCAAGUAGGUGUCAUAAUGGCAACAACUUCUGUGCUGGACAUACAAGAGGAGUUGCUUGGUAGUGGACAUAAGUUUCUGCUGACUUCACACCUCACUCAAGAUUGUCUUGAGAACCUUUUUAGAGUAGUAAGGCUAAACAAUCCUGUACCAUCACCUGUGGCUUUCAAAUGUGCACUAAAAAUCAUCAGCAUUGCUCAGUUUAUGAAACCUCUAGGUGGGAAUCGUGGAAGCUAUCAAGAUGAUGACUGUGGGUUAUUGUGUCCUUAGUAUUAAGAAAUAUGAGGUAGUGUGUGAUGCUUGCCUUGAGUAUGUCUUAAAUUCAGCUCCAGAUCAUAGCAGUUUUGCAACACUAACUAGUUUGAGAGAAUUCAAGAAGGGCAGUCUUGAGCAUGUUACAGGUUGCACAUUUGAUAUGAUGUUGAAAGUAGAGCAAAUGUUUUGAAGUAUAGCAGAAGAUACUUUGAUGGCUACCAGAAAUGUGAAAGAGGUUUUGAUACAGAUGGCUGAAGAACUCACUGAUGACUGUGUCUAUCCCACAUGUCAUAAUAUUAAGAGGAAAAUGAUAGCUAGAUAUU